RNAcentral lists this ribosomal RNA (443 nucleotides) under uncultured bacterium. RNAcentral describes it as "partial 16S ribosomal RNA". It matches the Rfam family "Bacterial small subunit ribosomal RNA", at positions 338 to 795 of the family's 1533-position model. The record is from RNAcentral.
CCUACGGGUGGCAGCAGUGGGGGAUAUUGCACAAUGGGGGGAACCCUGAUGCAGCGACGCCGCGUGAGCGAAGAAGUACCUCGGGAUGUAAAGCUCUAUCAGCAGGGAAGAAAGAAAUGACGGUACCUGACCAAGAAGCCACGGCUAACUACGUGCCAGCAGCCGCGGUAAUACGUAGGGGGCAAGCGUUAUCCGGAUUUACUGGGUGUAAAGGGCGUGUAGGCGGGGAUGCAAGUCAGAAGUGAAAGCCGCGGGCCCAACCCCCGGCCUGCACUGGAAACUGUACUGCUGGAGUACGGGAGAGGCAGACGGAAUUCCUAGUGUAGCGGGGAAAUGCGUAGAUAUUAGGAGGAACACCAGUGGCGAAGGCGGCUUGCUGGACUGUAACUGACGUUGAGGCUCGAAAGCGUGGGGAGCAAACAGGAUUAGAUACCCGUGUAGUC